Molecule: ribosomal RNA, 255 nt
Filed under: uncultured bacterium
Lineage: Bacteria
Description: partial 16S ribosomal RNA
Rfam family: Bacterial small subunit ribosomal RNA
Source: RNAcentral
UACGGAGGGAGCUAGCGUUUGUUCGGAAUUACUGGGCGUAAAGCGCACGUAGGCGGCUUUGCAAGUUAGAGGUGAAAGCCCGGGGGCUCAACUCCGGAAUUGCCUUUAAAACUGCAUCGCUAGAGUUGUGGAGAGGUAAGUGGAAUUCCGAGUGUAGAGGUGAAAUUCGUAGAUAUUCGGAAGAACACCAGUGGCGAAGGCGACUUACUGGACACAUACUGACGCUGAGGUGCGAAAGCGUGGGGAGCAAACAGG